This is a long non-coding RNA of Acipenser ruthenus (sterlet), 2475 nucleotides long. RefSeq lists it as uncharacterized. The record is from RefSeq and is a predicted model, not a curated record. NCBI's taxonomy places the organism in Eukaryota, Metazoa, Chordata, Actinopteri, Acipenseriformes, Acipenseridae. The transcript has 3 exons.
CUGGAGGGUGGUUUUGCUUAUUCCUGCCAUGCCGUGAUAAACUGCUCCCCUUCCCAGAGCUUGGCAAGCCGAGAGGGCAGGGAGUUAGUUUCAGAGCAGCACAAAUUACAGGAAACGCUCACACAAUCACUAAUGCGUUUCACAUAGCUGGGGCUGAGCUCAUACUGCAGUUAACCCAGCCAGUGCUGCUGCAGAACAAAUUCCAACCAGCAGGGACUUCAGACCCUGCAAACCCACAUAGAAGUCUAAGAGGUAUCCUAUUGAUAUGCCCAUGUGUAUCGAUGUUACUAUUUGUUUUCUAUAGAGCACACAGGCUGGAAAGCUGCCCUGCACUUUGAAAGGUCUCACCUGUGAAAUCCACCUUCCCAUACAGGUCCUGGAUCUGAGGGGCCAAUCCCAGCUUGAACAGGUACAAACUGGGAGGGGAGAGCGACAGACUGGGGUUAAACUGGGAGCACAAGAAAGCCACAUCCACCUUUAACAUACAUACUACUACUUCUGGGUCAUUGUGACAGGAUACAGGGUCUGGAGAGGAGAGGUGGAGGGUCACUCCAAUAGGAAGGAGGCUGUCUGAGUGUAUUGGGGAAUCACUGUCUCUUCAGGAAGAAAUAAAGAGACACUCAAUUCCAUUCUCAAUUCAAUAGGGAGUUCAAAUACUGUUGCUUCCCUCAGCAGAUGUCUGUAGCCUCACAGAAAGAACCACUUCCUCUCUGAUAACGACGUCACGUACUCUGCUUCCUGUGAACUGGCCCCUCCUCUCUGCGCCACAGCGUCUCCCUCACCGUGGAGACCCAGGCACAGUGUGGACGUGGUGCUGUUUGGUUUGUACACUAGCUUCUCAAACUGCUGCGUGGGAGGCAGCACCGCAGAAUGGCAUGUGGGGGCGCUGUGCUGAAGAGAGAUCUUCAGAUAUUAUACCUGAGGUCCUGUCUGCUUUGUAAACAUGAACGAUACCAGUACAGGGUAAAGGCCUUUUUGAAAACAAGCAGGUUUACCCAAAUGCUGUUUAAAUGGCUUCUUACAGCAAUACAUUGAGCUUAUUGGCUUACUUUGAGAAGCUGGUAGCUUUUAAUGCAUUUGUUUGGUUCAGACUUUAGAGUGGCAUAUUUGCUGAAUCACUUCACACAACUGUUUUCCAUGGAAAAUAAAUUGCUGGCUCAGUAAAGUUACAUUUCUAAAUCCUAGCGUAUACUUAAAUUUCUCACAUGACCAUUACUGAGUUUUCAACUCACAAACCCCACCCAACCCUGAAAAGGGACAGACCCUGUGAAGAAUAGGAACUUUAAAGAGAGCUCUACAGCAAGCUAUGUGAGCAGGAAUUUCUGAAAUGUCUCCCAGUUCAAACAGAAAUCUCAUUCGCAGGCCCUGAGGGGAGAGAUAAGGGAUACUGUGAAGAGAGCAGACCUCCCUGAUCAGGUGUGGAGAGAGAUCAGAGUAGCAGCGCAGUCUAACUGUGGCUCAUGAAAAUCUAUGGAAAUCAAUAGCCGAUGCAUCCAGCAGCCAGUUUGAACAGUCUAAUCCAGGGAAAUGAGCACAUUCAAGACAGGUCGCCCUGGCUAAAGGAACGCAGGGAAUGCACCCUCUCCCUCCUUCAUAGACACAAUACUCUGAUAGCAUUGCAGCCCUGCAAAUUCAAUUAAAUUCCUGAAGCAUUUUAGUAAAGCACAGAUGACUGCUCUGAGAUUCUACAGCCUGAGCGUAUUGGUGUCUGCAGCUCUAGUUCAGUUCAAAGGAAACUGCUGCCUGGCACUACUUUGUUGGUAGUUCAGAUCACUAAUGUUUUAACUGCAUUAAUAGUGCAGGCAGACAGGCUCUUAUCCCAAGGACUGUACCAAACACACCGCAGGCAUGCCUAAUUUAGAAGAAUUCACAUUUUCUUGUUUCCUUUCUGUUUCCGAAUUGACUUUUGUUUUUCGCUCUGUGUGUUUAACAAUUCCAAGUCAAACAUCCAAAGCCCUACAGAAGGAUUCUCCAGCAGUUGAAUCUUGAGCCACUCUCUGCUGGGGUUCACAGAGCUCCUCAACACCGCUUUGUAUGGCUCCUUUAGCUGCCUAGAAGUUUGCUGCAUGUCAUUUUGAGUUAUUUUGGGGAAAAUGAUGUCUAUAAAAAGCUCUGGUUACACUCUCCUGUGGUUAAAAAGUACCCUCCUAUCAAACUUCCCAUCUCCACUUUCCACUACUACAGCAACUGCGUCAGUAUUAGCCCUGCCAAAAUCUAUCAAAGUAAACAAAUGCAAAGCAGGUCCUCUAUGGGGACAACUAAACAAACAAACGUGUUAGGCUCUAGAAUAAAUCUAUUUCUGUAUUGCAAUUCAAUACAAUUGAGCUGUUGUCCUGCCUUCAACAGAAUGGGCACUGCAUCUGAAAUAAAACACCUGAAACAAACUGGUUUCCCUGUGCAGCUUUAUUAAUCAACCGCUUCUCCGUGCUAACUUAAAUAAAAGCACAAAUACUGCUCUAGAACACCACUACAGUA